Long non-coding RNA from Labeo rohita (rohu), 872 nucleotides. RefSeq lists it as uncharacterized. Lineage: Eukaryota; Metazoa; Chordata; Actinopteri; Cypriniformes; Cyprinidae. The transcript has 3 exons. The record is from RefSeq and is a predicted model, not a curated record.
AUGACAUUUCUUUUUGUAGUUCCCUGGCUUUUUUGAGCAAGGCGGGGGAGCUGUGAUGGCAGAAUAAUGGGGUAGGAACAUCUUGUAAUAUGGACAGCCACAUGGCAAAUUGGAAGGGUCACCUGAAGCCACCUGAAGCCCUCAAACACACAUUUUUCAGGAUUCACAGUUGUGAAGACUGUGAAUACCAUGCACUAUGGUAACAAGUGGACCUUUGGCAUAUGACAGAAACAUCUCAGGAGGAGGUAUCUGAUAUUUCACUAGACGAGUGCACUUAUUGACAUCCACUUCACUGUCAGUCCAAAGCCUUUACAUUAAUGUGUAUGAAGGGCGCACAGUAGCAGUUGCAGUUAGAUUGGAGUUACCGAAACAUCCAAAACAUCCACACCUUGGACAUUUGUAGCAACAAGUGUACAAUUUUAAGGAUUUUGCUUUUAUAUGGGGUUAUAUUAUAUUUUAACACAUGCAUUUCAAGCAAAUGAGCUAUGUCUGUAACAUGCUUCUCUGUAUAUUUGUAAUCUGUAUGGAUUGUUGUGUACUGUUUUUUUUUUUUUUUUCUAAAAAAUGUUUUUGCUUAUUGCCUUGCUUAAUAUUAAGGUUGCUAAAAUGCUAUUAUUUAUUUAAAAAUGUAAUACUUAUAGUUUACCAAAGUUUUUUUUUAUUCUGUAAUUAAUUAUUAUCUGGAUUUAUCGUACAUUUUAUCAUAGUUUUAUGUAAUUUAUUGAAACACCACUGCAUAUGGUGCAUAAAGCUGUAAUAAAAAAAAAUCAUGUUAAAUCAACAAGGUAACAGCAUAAAAACAACAUAAAAAAAAUCAUGUUCAUUUGACAAACACAAGUUACGUAACAUAAAUGGAUAUGAAUUAUGUUGAA